Molecule: ribosomal RNA, 484 nt
Filed under: uncultured bacterium
Lineage: Bacteria
Description: partial 16S ribosomal RNA
Rfam family: Bacterial small subunit ribosomal RNA
Source: RNAcentral
AUUGAACGCUGGCGGCAGGCCUAACACAUGCAAGUCGAGCGGAUGAAGGGAGCUUGCUCCUGGAUUCAGCGGCGGACGGGUGAGUAAUGCCUAGGAAUCUGCCUGGUAGUGGGGGAUAACGUCCGGAAACGGGCGCUAAUACCGCAUACGUCCUGAGGGAGAAAGUGGGGGAUCUUCGGACCUCACGCUAUCAGAUGAGCCUAGGUCGGAUUAGCUAGUUGGUGGGGUAAAGGCCUACCAAGGCGACGAUCCGUAACUGGUCUGAGAGGAUGAUCAGUCACACUGGAACAGAGACACGGUCCAGACUCAUACGGGAGGCAGCAGGGGGGAAUAUUGGAAAAUGGGCGAAAGUCGGAUAAAGCCAUGCCGCGUGUGUGAAGAAGGUCUUCGGAUUGUAAAGCACUUUAAGUUGGGAGGAAGGGCAGUAAGUUAAUAACUUGCGGUUUUGAAGUGACCAAAAGAAGAAGAACCGGCUAACUUCGUG